RNAcentral lists this ribosomal RNA (1531 nucleotides) under Escherichia coli. RNAcentral describes it as "partial 23S ribosomal RNA". It matches the Rfam family "Bacterial large subunit ribosomal RNA", at positions 354 to 1875 of the family's 2925-position model. The record is from RNAcentral. Lineage: Bacteria; Pseudomonadati; Pseudomonadota; Gammaproteobacteria; Enterobacterales; Enterobacteriaceae.
GCGAUACAGGGUGACAGCCCCGUACACAAAAAUGCACAUAUUGUGAGCUCGAUGAGUAGGGCGGGACACGUGGUAUCCUGUCUGAAUAUGGGGGGACCAUCCUCCAAGGCUAAAUACUCCUGACUGACCGAUAGUGAACCAGUACCGUGAGGGAAAGGCGAAAAGAACCCCGGCGAGGGGAGUGAAAAAGAACCUGAAACCGUGUACGUACAAGCAGUGGGAGCCUCUUAAUGGGGUGACUGCGUACCUUUUGUAUAAUGGGUCAGCGACUUAUAUUCUGUAGCAAGGUUAACCGAAUAGGGGAGCCGAAGGGAAACCGAGUCUUAACUGGGCGUUAAGUUGCAGGGUAUAGACCCGAAACCCGGUGAUCUAGCCAUGGGCAGGUUGAAGGUUGGGUAACACUAACUGGAGGACCGAACCGACUAAUGUUGAAAAAUUAGCGGAUGACUUGUGGCUGGGGGUGAAAGGCCAAUCAAACCGGGAGAUAGCUGGUUCUCCCCGAAAGCUAUUUAGGUAGCGCCUCGUGAAUUCAUCUCCGGGGGUAGAGCACUGUUUCGGCAAGGGGGUCAUCCCGACUUACCAACCCGAUGCAAACUGCGAAUACCGGAGAAUGUUAUCACGGGAGACACACGGCGGGUGCUAACGUCCGUCGUGAAGAGGGAAACAACCCAGACCGCCAGCUAAGGUCCCAAAGUCAUGGUUAAGUGGGAAACGAUGUGGGAAGGCCCAGACAGCCAGGAUGUUGGCUUAGAAGCAGCCAUCAUUUAAAGAAAGCGUAAUAGCUCACUGGUCGAGUCGGCCUGCGCGGAAGAUGUAACGGGGCUAAACCAUGCACCGAAGCUGCGGCAGCGACACUAUGUGUUGUUGGGUAGGGGAGCGUUCUGUAAGCCUGUGAAGGUGGCCUGUGAGGGUUGCUGGAGGUAUCAGAAGUGCGAAUGCUGACAUAAGUAACGAUAAAGCGGGUGAAAAGCCCGCUCGCCGGAAGACCAAGGGUUCCUGUCCAACGUUAAUCGGGGCAGGGUGAGUCGACCCCUAAGGCGAGGCCGAAAGGCGUAGUCGAUGGGAAACAGGUUAAUAUUCCUGUACUUGGUGUUACUGCGAAGGGGGGACGGAGAAGGCUAUGUUGGCCGGGCGACGGUUGUCCCGGUUUAAGCGUGUAGGCUGGUUUUCCAGGCAAAUCCGGAAAACCAAGGCUGAGGCGUGAUGACGAGGCACUACGGUGCUGAAGCGACAAAUGCCCUGCUUCCAGGAAAAGCCUCUAAGCAUCAGGUAACAUCAAAUCGUACCCCAAACCGACACAGGUGGUCAGGUAGAGAAUACCAAGGCGCUUGAGAGAACUCGGGUGAAGGAACUAGGCAAAAUGGUGCCGUAACUUCGGGAGAAGGCACGCUGAUAUGUAGGUGAAGCGACUUGCUCGUGGAGCUGAAAUCAGUCGAAGAUACCAGCUGGCUGCAACUGUUUAUUAAAAACACAGCACUGUGCAAACACGAAAGUGGACGUAUACGGUGUGACGCCUGCCCGGUGCCGGAAG